GACGAACGCUGGCGGCAUGCUUAACACAUGCAAGUCGAACGGAAAGGCCCUGCUUUUGUGGGGUGCUCGAGUGGCGAACGGGUGAGUAACACGUGAGUAACCUGCCCUUGACUUUGGGAUAACUUCAGGAAACUGGGGCUAAUACCGGAUAGGAGCUCCUGCUGCAUGGUGGGGGUUGGAAAGUUUCGGCGGUUGGGGAUGGACUCGCGGCUUAUCAGCUUGUUGGUGGGGUAGUGGCUUACCAAGGCUUUGACGGGUAGCCGGCCUGAGAGGGUGACCGGCCACAUUGGGACUGGGAUACGGCCCAGACUCCUACGGGAGGCAGCAGUGGGGAAUAUUGCACAAUGGGCGGAAGCCUGAUGCAGCAACGCCGCGUGCGGGAUGACGGCCUUCGGGUUGUAAACCGCUUUCGCCUGUGACGAAGCGUGAGUGACGGUAAUGGGUAAAGAAGCACCGGCUAACUACGUG
Molecule: ribosomal RNA, 468 nt
Filed under: uncultured bacterium
Lineage: Bacteria
Description: partial 16S ribosomal RNA
Rfam family: Bacterial small subunit ribosomal RNA
Source: RNAcentral